CAACUACUCCCUCCAUUCCGAAUUACUAGUCGAAGAAAUGGAUGUAUCUAGAACUAAAAUACAUCUAGAUACAUCCAUACCUGCGACAAGUAAUUCGGAACGGAGGGAGUACAAG
Molecule: non-coding RNA, 115 nt
Organism: Triticum urartu
Lineage: Eukaryota; Viridiplantae; Streptophyta; Magnoliopsida; Poales; Poaceae
Source: Rfam